AUGACACAGGUGACAAAUGUGGCACAGGUGACACAGGUGGCACAGGUGGUACAGGUGGCACAGGUGGGCCGGGGCGGGUCCUGUCCCUCUCUCGCUCAUUCCCUGUGGGAUCUGUUCCCGCUCCAGGCUGGCGCUCCCCGGCGGGACCCGGCCCCGCGGGCAGGUGGCGGCAGCCGUGCAGGAGGUGCCGGGUGCUGCCACGCCCACUCAGGAGGAUCCAGCAGCUCCUCCAGCCCCGCCCUGCCCGGAGACCCCCCGAGCUCUCCCGUCCUGGCUCUGCCCAGAGCAUCUCACAGCUUUCCCGGCCCGGAGGAGUCAGGAAGGUCCAGGAGCUCUCCCAUCCCAGCCCCACCAGGAAGGUCCAGGAGCUCUCCCAUCCCAGCCCCACCAGGAGGAUCUGGGAGCUCUCCCACCCCGGCCCCACCAGGAUUCCCAAAUUCUCCCAUCCCACCCGUGCCAGCAGCAUCCCGGCUGUGGGAUUGCCCUGCGCAGCCUCCAGGCCCGGCUGGAGGAGCUGGAAAACCAGGUGCGGACGCUGGAGCUGGAGCGGGCACGGCGGGGACCGGUCCUGCAGCACCUCCCGGAGAGCGGCCGCAGAUCCCUGGAUCACCUCAGACCCCAGGAUCACCCCAGAACCCAGGAUCACCCUGGAUCCCAGGAGCAGCACGAGCAGCUCGCAGCGCUCCAGGCCAGGCUGUGCCAGCAGCAGCAGGACGCGGAGCGGGAGCAGAGCCGGCUCCAGGAGGCCGUGGCCGACUUGGAGACCAGGCUGGGAGAGCAGGAGCAGCUCCUGGAGCAGGAGCGCCGCCGCGCCGCCGCCGAGCGCUGCCGGGCGGAUUCGCUGCGGGAGGCGCUGGAGGAGCAGCGGCGGCUCUCGGCACAGCUGCGGGCCAUGGACAGGGCGGCGCUGGACGAGGCCAAGGACGCGUGGCUGGAGGAGCAGCGGGCGGAGCUGCGGGAUCGCUCCGAGGAGCGGCGGCGGCUGGCGGCCGCCUGGGCCGAGUUCCACAGCCGGGAGCGCCUGAGCCGGGAGCGGGAGGAGCAGGACAAGGAGCGCGCCCUGGGCGUGGACUCGGCGCUGAGGAGCCUGGCCAAGGAUCAGGCAGAGCUGAAGUUCCGGAGCCGGGAGCUGAGAUCCAAGGAGGAGCAGCUGGUCAGAGACAGGGAGGAGCUGGACGAGGCCUGGCGGGAGCUGAGGCUGGAGAAGGAGAAGGUUCUCCAUGCCGAGCAGCGCCUGCAGGAGCGGGAGGAGGAGAUCCGUGACCUGGCCGAGGUAAACGGAGCAUCCAGGCUUGAGUUCCUAGCUGGGAGCAGAGCUGGGGCUCCCCAUCCCCUGAGCUGGGGCUCCCCAUCCCCUGAGCUGGGGCUCCACAUCCUCUGAGCUGGGGCUCCACAUCCCCUGAG
This 1404-nucleotide long non-coding RNA is filed under the name Chloebia gouldiae (Gouldian finch). RNAcentral's name for it is "Erythrura gouldiae (Gouldian finch) lncRNA (ENSEGOG00005015678.1)". The record is from RNAcentral. Lineage: Eukaryota; Metazoa; Chordata; Aves; Passeriformes; Passeridae.